CUUUAGGGUAGAACGAUAAGGGGACACUGUCGAGUGUGCUGGUUCUGUGUGUCCAGUCUGCUAACCUCUUUUCGUUCUGCCACCAAU
RNAcentral lists this non-coding RNA (87 nucleotides) under Acinetobacter baumannii. Lineage: Bacteria; Pseudomonadati; Pseudomonadota; Gammaproteobacteria; Moraxellales; Moraxellaceae. The record is from RNAcentral.